UCGUCAUCGUAGGGUUAGUCGGGACCUAAGUCGAGUCCGAAAGGGGUAGACGAUGGCAAAUAGGUUAAUAUUCCUAUACCGACGGUUGUUUGUUUGAAUGAUGGGGGGACGCAUAGAGUUAAUCGAGCUCACUGAUGGAAUAGUGGGUCGAAGGACGUAGGUCGUGAAGUAGGCAAAUCCGCUUCACAUGAGACCGAGAUCUUACAGGCUCUUCAAUAGCUUCGGCUAGCGAGGAGAAUCGAUGAUACUGUCGUGCCGAGAAAAGCCUCUAAAUGAGAACAACCGUUGCCCGUACCGCAAACCGACACAGGUGGGUGAGAUGAGUAUUCUAAGGCGCGUGGAUGAGCCCUGGUUAAGGAACUCUGCAAACUAGCACCGUAUCUUCGGAAUAAGGUGUGCCUACUCUUGUAUUAGAAUUUACUUCGAAAGCGAGAGAGGUUGCAACAAAGAGUCCCUCCCGACUGUUUAC
Molecule: ribosomal RNA, 469 nt
Filed under: uncultured bacterium
Lineage: Bacteria
Description: bacterial LSU rRNA
Rfam family: Bacterial large subunit ribosomal RNA
Source: RNAcentral